This 437-nucleotide ribosomal RNA is filed under the name uncultured soil bacterium. Its description in RNAcentral is "bacterial SSU rRNA". It matches the Rfam family "Bacterial small subunit ribosomal RNA", at positions 26 to 506 of the family's 1533-position model. The record is from RNAcentral.
AGAACGAACGCUGGCGGCAUGCCUAACACAUGCAAGUCGAACGAGACCUUCGGGUCUAGUGGCGCACGGGUGCGUAACGCGUGGGAACCUGCCUUGAGGUUCGGAAUAACUUCCCGAAAGGGAUGCUAAUACCGGAUGAUGUCUUCGGACCAAAGAUUUAUCGCCUUUAGAUGGGCCCGCGUUGGAUUAGCUAGUUGGUGGGGUAAAGGCCUACCAAGGCGACGAUCCAUAGCUGGUCUGAGAGGAUGAUCAGCCACACUGGGACUGAGACACGGCCCAGACUCCUACGGGAGGCAGCAGUGGGGAAUAUUGGACAAUGGGCGAAAGCCUGAUCCGAGCAAUGCCGCGUGAGUGAUGGAAGGUCCGUUAGGGUUGUAAAGCUUCUUUACGUGGGGAUGAUAAUGACAGUACCAGAGAAUAAGCUCCGCUAACUCCGU